GUGAAGACCUUUGUAGUCAACCUCCUGAGCUACAGCAAGAAUGUCUAUGGGGACCUGCACUGGUCAACAACUUCUGUCAAGCAACACGCGUUGCAACGUACUGUCCAAUCCCAUCUUCCGGACAGACAUGGACCAUAACAAAGACGUACCUCUUCCACGGAGAGUCCAAAAUCGUUCGGCGUCACCUUUCGAUAAUGAAACCUGGUCGGCAUCCCACCAACGAUGUCUUCAAAGUCAAGCUUGUAGUACUCGUCAAAGUACUCCUCGAAUGAUUUCUCCGCUGCAAUGUUAGAGGCAGCCUUUUAGCGGACUCGGAGUGGAACACAGCCGUAGAACCUAUGCUACAAAGUGUGCACAGCUGCACUGCCGCGCUACGUAUGAGAUUGAGGCUAAAAAGAGUGCAUAAAAAUUAUGAUCAAUGUGCCA
Long non-coding RNA from Ornithodoros turicata, 426 nucleotides. RefSeq lists it as uncharacterized. The transcript has 2 exons. NCBI's taxonomy places the organism in Eukaryota, Metazoa, Arthropoda, Arachnida, Ixodida, Argasidae. The record is from RefSeq and is a predicted model, not a curated record.